GAAAACCUCCCGGAAUCCGAAUCAGGCGGUUGUGGCCGUUCGAUCCGGAUCAACCCCGCUUUACCGCAAACCGUUAUCGGUUUGUCCACUGGACGCCCUAAUCUAUUUAUCCGAGACGUCCGAUCUAAUCGGAGGGUCGAAAUGCCCCUAAAGCUAACCCAUGUUCUAUAAUUAUAGUCCAACCUAGAGCUAACCCUAGUCUAGUCUGUCCCAUCCACUGAUGUUGCACCACCUGGUCUCUCCCUCCUCCGCAUCUCCUCCCAAACCAAAGGUGCCGCCGCCCAAUGUGUUGCAUGUCCAGCCAACCCUGUAGCUCCUUCUGUCCCUUGUCGCGUUCAGCACUGGAAGCCCUGCUUGGGUUCGAGAGGAGCCCGUCCCCGAGCUGCCUCCUCUCCCCUCGAUCUGGAUUGGAUCUGAGCGCUAGGACCUCCUCUCGGUCCCGAUUGGAUCUGAGCGCCAGGACCUCCUCUAGAUCCCCUCCUCGUUCCCCCGCCUCGAUCUGGUCGAGAUCUCCAGCGCCGCAACAAGCAGAUCGUGAG
This 539-nucleotide long non-coding RNA is filed under the name Hordeum vulgare. Its description in RNAcentral is "long non-coding RNA (HVUL_LNC007201)". Lineage: Eukaryota; Viridiplantae; Streptophyta; Magnoliopsida; Poales; Poaceae. The record is from RNAcentral.